Molecule: RNA transcript, 720 nt
Organism: Nicotiana attenuata
Lineage: Eukaryota; Viridiplantae; Streptophyta; Magnoliopsida; Solanales; Solanaceae
Gene name: pathogenesis-related protein PR-4A-like
Exons: 2
Source: RefSeq, a predicted model, not a curated record
UAAACCAAUACUGAAAAUUAAGAGAAGAAAGAAAAUGGAGAGAGUUAAUAAUUAUAAGUGGUGUAUGGCAUUGUUGAUCAUCUGCAUGAUGGUGGCAAUGGCAGCGGCACAGAGCGCCACAGUGAGAUCAACGUAUCAUUUAUAUAACCCACAGAACAUUAACUGGGAUUUGAGAGCAGCAAGCGCUUUCUGCGCUACUUGGGAUGCCGACCAGCCUCUCGCAUGGCGCCAGAAAUAUGGCUGGACUGCUUUCUGCGGUCCUGCUGGACCUCGAGGCCAAGAUUCCUGUGGUAGAUGCUUGAGGGUGGCGAACACAGGAACAGGAACUCAAACAACAGUGAGAAUAGUAGAUCAAUGCAGCAAUGGAGGGCUUGAUUUGGAUGUAAAACGUCUUUAACCAAUUGGACACAAAUGGAGUGGGCAAUCAGCAAGGCCACCUUACUGUCAACUAUGAAUUUGUCAACUGCAAUGACUAAUUAAUCUGCUUCCAGAUAUAUUAAGUACCAUCAUAAAAAACCACAAUAAUUCAUAUAUAUAUACUAGUAUAUCUUAUUUUUCAGACUCGUUUAGAAUAAGAAGGGGCUGAGCUAGCUUUUAAUAUAGUAUAGUAAUUAUCUGAAAGCUCUACAUGCCCUUCACUAUUAAUUAAUAAAAUAAAAACUUGUUCUUGUUGUUAGUGCUAUAUGGAGUGAAUGAAUGAAGCACCACUUAACAUGAUCA